AAUCCAGACUCCUACGGGAGGCAGCAGUGGGGAAUAUUGCACAAUGGGGGAAACCCUGAUGCAGCGACGCCGCGUGAAGGAAGAAGUAUUUCGGUAUGUAAACUUCUAUCAGCAGGGAAGAAAAUGACGGUACCUGACUAAGAAGCCCCGGCUAACUACGUGCCAGCAGCCGCGGUAAUACGUAGGGGGCAAGCGUUAUCCGGAUUUACUGGGUGUAAAGGGAGCGUAGGCGGCAAGGCAAGUCUGAUGUGAAAACCCAGGGCCCAACCCUGGGACUGCAUUGGAAACUGUAUUGCUUGAGUACCGGAGAGGCAGGCGGAAUUCCUAGUGUAGCGGUGAAAUGCGUAGAUAUUAGGAGGAACACCAGUGGCGAAGGCGGCUUACUGGACAGUAACUGACGUUGAGGCUCGAAAGCGUGGGGAGCAAACAGGAUUAGAUACCCCUGUA
Molecule: ribosomal RNA, 447 nt
Filed under: uncultured bacterium
Lineage: Bacteria
Description: bacterial SSU rRNA
Rfam family: Bacterial small subunit ribosomal RNA
Source: RNAcentral